RNAcentral lists this ribosomal RNA (408 nucleotides) under uncultured bacterium. RNAcentral's name for it is "partial 16S ribosomal RNA". It matches the Rfam family "Bacterial small subunit ribosomal RNA", at positions 28 to 526 of the family's 1533-position model. The record is from RNAcentral.
GACGAACGCUGGCGGCGUGCUUAACACAUGCAAGUCGAACGAAGUGGCGAACGGGUGAGUAACGCGUAAUCAACCUGCCCUUCAGAGGGGGACAACAGUUGGAAACGACUCCUAAUACCGCAUACUGAAGGAGGGGAUUGCGUCUUAUUAGCUAGUUGGCGGGGUAACGGCCCACCAAGGGGAUGAUCAGUAGCCGGUCUGAGAGGAUGAACGGCCACAUGGGGAAUUAGAAACGGCCCAGAAUCCUAAGGGAGGCAGCAGUUGGGAAUCUUCCGCAAUGGACGAAAGUCUGAAGGAGGAACGCCGCGUGAGUGAUGACGGCCUUCGGGUUGUAAAGCUCUGUUAAUCGGGACGCGGUACCGGAAUAGAAAGCCACGGCUAACUACGUGCCAGCAGCCGCGGUAAUUC